UGCGUAGGUGGGUUGGUAAGUCAGUGGUGAAAUCCCCGAGCUUAACUUGGGAACUGCCAUUGAUACUAUUAAUCUUGAAUACCGUGGAGGUCAGCGGAAUAUGUCAUGUAGCGGUGAAAUGCUUAGAUAUGACAUAGAGCACCAAUUGCGAAGGCAGCUGGCUACGCGAAUAUUGACACUGAUGCACGAAAGCGUGGGGAUCAAACA
RNAcentral lists this ribosomal RNA (207 nucleotides) under uncultured bacterium. RNAcentral's name for it is "partial 16S ribosomal RNA". It matches the Rfam family "Bacterial small subunit ribosomal RNA", at positions 568 to 774 of the family's 1533-position model. The record is from RNAcentral.